Molecule: long non-coding RNA, 1077 nt
Organism: Microplitis demolitor
Lineage: Eukaryota; Metazoa; Arthropoda; Insecta; Hymenoptera; Braconidae
Exons: 3
Source: RefSeq, a predicted model, not a curated record
UAAAAAAUGUUCAAAAAAUUUCAUACAUGCAUAUAUAUCGUGUGAUAUACAUUAGUGUAUAGUAAUGAUAUAAAAUUAGGCUCGUUUUCGAAGAGUGAGAGUAAAAAAAGAGAACGACUAAUUUUUUAUAGAGAACUUCAGAUAGUUGAUUUGACUAAACAUUAUAUAGGUAAUGUACCAAACUAACUUUCACAUAAACAAAGUAUAGAAAAUUUAAUUAGUAUGAGAUUAUAAUUGUAAUUACUAUUACGAUGACAAGAUCAGAUAUAAUUAUCCGACGUACAGGUUAUUUUAUGCACAAUAAAAUACAACUGACGAAACUAAAUUAUAAUGAGACAUGUAUAAGUUAUGUGAAAUGAAAACCAUAUUUUCAACAUUUUUUGAUUUCAUUAGAAUUUUCAAGGAUAUUAAAUUAUUAAAAGAAAUGGUCAAAACAUAAAGCUAAAGGUCAUAAAUUGAAGCAUAUCAAACAAGCUUUAAGAUAAUUUUUACUGGAAUCGUUUAUCAGUUUUAGUUUUAAUGUUAUAUGAACUUAAAUAGUGAAUAACAAUUGAUUUUCUCAAACAACCAUAAUUUAAAAACUAUAGAAUAAUUGUAGAAAAUUUCAUUAAGCUCCGAAAAGAACUGUAGGUGCUAUCGUAAUGAUAAGAGCAGUGAUAAUCAUCGGGAUUAGAGGUUAUUUUGUGCACAAUAAAAUACAACUGACGAAACUAAAUUAUAAUGGGACAUGUAUAAGUUAUGUGGGAUGAAAACCAUAUUUUUAACAUUUUUUUAUUUAAUUAAAAUUUUCAAGACAAUCAAAUUAUUGGAAGAAAUGGCCAAAACAUAAAGUUAAAGGCCAUAAAUUAAAGCUUAUUAGACAAGCUUUCAGAUACUUUUUUACGGAAAUUGUCUAUGGGUAUUAGUUUUAAAAUUUUAUGAACUUGAAAGUGGAUAAAAACUGAUAUUUUCGAAAAAUCAUGGAAAUUUCAAACAGCCAUAACUUUUAAACUAAUCGAACAAUUUAUCCCAUCUUCAAACUUAUCCGUGAUAUUCGCCCAUAAAAUAAAUGUGAAAAAUUUCAUUAGGAUCCGCUAA